Molecule: ribosomal RNA, 389 nt
Filed under: uncultured Glomeromycotina
Lineage: Eukaryota; Fungi; Glomeromycota
Description: SSU rRNA
Rfam family: Eukaryotic small subunit ribosomal RNA
Source: RNAcentral
GAAGAACUGUAAUGUCAUUAAUUCGGUGUUGCAGGGAAACAGGACUGUUACUUUGAAAAAAUUAGAGUGUUUAAAGCAGGCUAACGCUUGAAUACAUUAGCAUGGAAUAAUGAAAUAGGACGUUCAAACCUAUUUUGUUGGUUUCUAGGAUUGACAUAAUGAUUAAUAGGGAUAGUUGGGGGCAUUAGUAUUCAAUUGUCAGAGGUGAAAUUCUUGGAUUUAUUGAAGACUAACUACUGCGAAAGCAUUUGCCAAGGAUGUUUUCAUUAAUCAAGAACGAAAGUUAGGGGAUCGAACACGAUCAGAUACCGUCGUAGUCUUAACCAUAAACUAUGCCGACUAGGGAUCGGAUGAUGUUAAUUUUUUAAUGACUCAUUCGGCGCCUUACG